UACAGGACUCGCAAGACUCCCGUAAACCACUGUGAACUUACCUACAACCCGUUGCCUCGGCGGGUGCUCCGGGCGCGUCUUCGGGCGCUCCGGGGCGCUCCAGCCCGCCGGCGGCCCCUAAACUCUGUCUCUGUAACGUUGGCAUCUCCGAGCAGACUAUAAACGAGUCAAAACUUUCAACAACGGAUCUCUUGGUUCUGGCAUCGAUGAAGAACGCAGCGAAAUGCGAUAAGUAAUGUGAAUUGCAGAAUUCAGUGAAUCAUCGAAUCUUUGAACGCACAUUGCGCCCGCCAGCACUCUGGCGGGCAUGCCUGUCCGAGCGUCAUUUCAACCCUCAGGCCCCGCCUGGCGUUGGAGCCCUGCGCAGCGCAGGCUCCCAAAGACAGCGGCGGGCGCGCCCCGGAACCGAGCGCAGUAAUGCUUUCUCGUUCUGGUCCGGCGCGCGCUCCGGCCGUAAAACCCCCAACUUUCUAAGUGGUUGACCUCGGAUCAGGUAGGAAUACCCGCUGAACUUAAGCAUAUCAAUAAGCGGAGGAAAAGAAACCAACAGGGAUUGCCUCAGUAACGGCGAGUGAAGCGGCAACAGCUCAAAUUUGAAAUCUGGCCCCCCGGCCCGAGUUGUAAUUUGCAGAGGAUGCUUCUGGCGCGGUGCCUUCCAAGUCCCCUGGAACGGGGCGCCAUAGAGGGUGAGAGCCCCGUCUGGUUGGCCGCCAAGCCUGUGUGAAGCUCCUUCGACGAGUCGAGUA
RNAcentral lists this ribosomal RNA (746 nucleotides) under fungal sp. RNAcentral describes it as "eukaryotic LSU rRNA". The stretch from base 480 to 746 matches the Rfam family "Eukaryotic large subunit ribosomal RNA", at positions 1 to 271 of the family's 3401-position model. The record is from RNAcentral. Lineage: Eukaryota; Fungi.